RNAcentral lists this transfer RNA (66 nucleotides) under Scolytinae sp. BMNH 1040341. RNAcentral's name for it is "tRNA-Cys". The record is from RNAcentral. Lineage: Eukaryota; Metazoa; Arthropoda; Insecta; Coleoptera; Curculionidae.
AACUAUAUAGUCAUGUAAAUGAUGUUGAAUUGCAAAUUCAAAGGAGGGCUACAGGCUCUGUAGUUU